GGAGUUUGGACCGUGUCUCAGUUCCAAUGUGGGGGACCUUCCUCUCAGAACCCCUAGAUAUCGUCGCCUUGGUGAGCCGUUACCUCACCAACCAGCUAAUAUCACGCGAACCAAUCCGUAUCCGACGAAUCUUUCAAUAUAAAGAGAUGCCUCUUCACAUGUUAUGGGAAAUUAGGCGGCGUUUCCACCGGUUAUGUCCCUGAUACGGGCAUGUUGCUCACGCGUUACGCACCCUUGCGCCGGUCGCCAGCCGGAGUGUAUUGCUACUCCCCGCUGCUGCCCCUCGACUUGCAUGUGUUAAGCCUGCCGCUAGCGUUCAUC
RNAcentral lists this ribosomal RNA (321 nucleotides) under uncultured Bacteroidales bacterium. RNAcentral's name for it is "partial 16S ribosomal RNA". Lineage: Bacteria; Pseudomonadati; Bacteroidota; Bacteroidia; Bacteroidales. The record is from RNAcentral.